Molecule: long non-coding RNA, 1720 nt
Organism: Pipistrellus kuhlii (Kuhl's pipistrelle)
Lineage: Eukaryota; Metazoa; Chordata; Mammalia; Chiroptera; Vespertilionidae
Exons: 2
Source: RefSeq, a predicted model, not a curated record
GGGGGGGGGUGCUGGGACCGCAUUCUGGGGUCUGACCUCCUGGGCCUCUCUCCUGUGAGACACCAGCCUUGGCCGAGGGACAGGGAACGGAGCCUUCACCCUAAGGGGGAAAUGUCACAGCAGAGCAGGCCACCCGCAGAGCCACACGGAGCCCCACGGGCUGUGAGCGCUAAUGCUGCACAGACACGCCCUGUCUCUGAGCCGCCACCUGCCAGGUGUGCUUCCAGCGGCGCCCUGCCCUCUGGGCUGCCCUGACUGAGCCUUUGGGCGGGAGAGACCACCCUCCCGGAUGGUGGAGAACCGGGGGUGAGAGGUCCUUGCAGGCAGAAUGAGAACAGCUCCGAGCCACCAGUCUCCCUGACGCCCUGGCCUCUGGGGAGGAGGACGGAGGGUGACACCGGCCAGGGCCGCCCCGGGGGACGGCGGUGCCAGCCCGCACGCCGCAGCCCCGGCGAGCGGGCGCGGGCAGGACUGUUAUCCCUGCUGCCGUCAGUCCUCCCCCCCGCCAGCCGGGAGCCGGAUUCCCGGGCCCCCUUUGGCCUCGGGAUCCCGAAGGCCCGGCCCAGUGUCCUGGCCUGACCCCUGCCGUGCAGGUUCCUGGCCGCCGCGGGCACUUCCCCAUAAGGCAGCGGGCUGGCUGUCUGCUGCCUGGCCCGCCUCCCAGGACCCCGCCCCGGCCAGGCUCCAGGUCCAGCCGCGGCGGGGAAAGGUGGGGGGAGGGCGAGGAUGUUUCUCUCAAGAGGUUCAGAUGAGGUGUCCCACUCACAGACCGAGCUGCGCUGUGAAGGGGACUGAGGCAGGAAGGAUUGGUCCCCUUAGAACGGGGCCAUCUGCAUGUGGGUCCUGUGACCAUUCCGCACUAGCAGGGCCCUGCGCCCCUGGUGCUUCCCAACCAACCAGCCACCCCGACCUGCCCAGGACCCCCCAGAGCUCCUCACAUCCCAGACACCAAAGGGCCCCCGGGACCCUCGCCCCUCGCCAUGGCCGGAAUCCUCCCCCUCUGACUGGCCCGUGCCCCGCUGCCCGAGGUUAAAUCUCUCACCUCACCCAGGCGGUCGGGAGUCCAGGCUCCACCGGCCUGAGCUGCUGCCCCCCGUUUCCCACAGAGGCACCCCGACAGGGCAGGAGGGAUGUGUGAAAGCUCUCAGCAUAGGGUGACUCAGGCUCCUCCUUGGGAACUGGCCCAUUAGCACCUCCAAACCAGGCAGCUGGUCGGAGGCCCUGACCGAGUCUCUCCCCACCGCUGGGCCUCAGUUUCCCCACGUGUAAAUGAGAGCUUUGUCCUGGGCAACCGUGAAGACUCUCUGGGGCUCUGACACGGGCUUUGUGUGGAACUGUUCACAGCCUUGGGGUGCCGCCCGCACGGCCCCCGGCCGGAACAGUGCGCAGCUCACCCGCAGCACGCACCUCUGGGACCAGGCCCGGGGUUCUCGCCACCUGCAGAGGCCGACACUUCCGUUACCCCUUCCCCUUAAGGAAAUGGGUUCAGAGGGGCGAGGGCCCAGGCUCAAGGCCACACGAUCAGGAAGAGUCAGAAUUUGAAUUCAGGGCCCAGGCCGGGUAGCUCAGUGGACGCCUGGGUUAGAGCAUCGUCCGGACAGGCCAAGGGUUUGAUCUCGGGUCAGGGCACUCACAAGCAGCACCGAGGAAUGCAUGAAUAAGCGGACCCACAUGUUUCUCUCUCCCUCUCCCUCCCCCUCUCUCUAAAAAUCAAUACGUU